RNA transcript from Balaenoptera acutorostrata (minke whale), 6979 nucleotides. It is a transcript of the gene named zinc finger CCHC-type containing 2, with no coding region annotated. Lineage: Eukaryota; Metazoa; Chordata; Mammalia; Artiodactyla; Balaenopteridae. The record is from RefSeq and is a predicted model, not a curated record. The transcript is spliced from 16 exons.
CCGCACCGGUUCGCGAGGGAACCGCUCAGGUACCGCCGCCACAGCCCAGUGCGGACGACGGGAGAGGAAGGCGGAAGGAGGACACGCUCGCUCGCUUGCUCUCUCCCACCCGCACCCGGCGCGGAGCCCAGGGGGGAGGAGUCACUGCGGGCACGCCCCGCCUCCGGCCGGGGAAGACUACGCCGGCGACCCCGCCGGCUGGCCACCGCCCCCCUUGCCGGCCGAGACCCGCCCCCGGCCCUCCCUUGGCGGCAUGGAGGGGCCCCGCUCCUGACGGCCGCGCCGCCGCCUCGGCCCCCGCCCCUCCUCCUGGCCCCUCCCUCCCGCCCCCGCUCGCAUGUCCGCACCGCCUUAGCCGAGGAUGCUGAGGAUGAAGCUGCCGCUGAAGCCGACGCACCCCGCGGAGCCGCCGCCCGAGGCGGAGGAGCCCGAGGCGGACGCGCGGCCAGGCGCGAAGGCGCCGCCGCGCCGCCGCCGCGACUGCCGCCCCCCGCCGCCGCCGCCGCCGCUCUCGGGCCCGCCGCGGGGCCCCCCGCCACAGCCGCCGCCGCCACCCGGGGGGCUCGGGCAGCCUGUUGCUGGCGGAUCGGCGGCGGGGGCGGGCAUGCCGAGCGGCGGCGGCGGGCCCACGGCGGCGCUGCGCGAGCAGGAGCGGGUGUAUGAGUGGUUCGGGCUGGUGCUGGGCUCGGCGCAGCGCCUGGAGUUCAUGUGCGGGCUGCUGGACCUGUGCAACCCGCUGGAGCUGCGCUUCCUCGGCUCGUGCCUGGAGGACUUGGCGCGCAAGGACUACCACUACCUGCGCGACUCGGAGGCCAAGGCCAACGGCCUCUCGGACCCGGGGCCGCUGGCCGACUUCCGAGAGCCCGCCGUGCGCUCGCGCCUCAUCGUCUACCUGGCGCUGCUGGGUUCCGAGAACCGUGAGGCCGCCGGCCGCCUGCACCGCCUCCUGCCCCAGGUGGACUCGGUGCUUAAGAGCCUGCGCGCGGCCCGGGGCGACGUCUCGCGGGGCGGCGCGGAGGACGAGCCCGGCGAGGACGGCGACAACGAGGAGGACGCCGAGAAGGACGGCUCCGGCCCGGAAGGCGGCGGCGCCGAGCCUCAGCCCGGAGGCGGGCUGGGCUUCAGGGCCCAGGAGGAACUGCUGCUGCUCUUCACCAUGGCCUCGCUGCACCCGGCGUUCUCCUUCCACCAGCGGGUCACCCUGAGGGAGCACCUGGAGAGGCUCCGCGCCGCGCUCCGCCGGAGCCCCGAAGACGGGGAGGCGGAGCCGUGCAACUUUGCCGGCCCCAGGGCCCAGAAUGACUCUGCUCAUGGUGAUUAUAUGCAAAGUAAUGAGGCCAGUUUAAUGGAACAAGCCCCGAUACCUCAUGAUGGGCUUCCUGUGGCACCUCAUAGAACCCAGCGAGAAGCUGUACACAUUGAGAAGAUAAUGUUGAAAGGAGUCCAGAGAAAAAGGGCUGACAAAUAUUGGGAGUACACCUUCAAAGUAAAUUGGUCUGAUCUUUCAGUCACAACAGUAACAAAAACCCACCAAGAACUACAGGAAUUUCUGCUGAAGCUUCCAAAGGAGUUGUCCUCGGAGACUUUUGACAAGACCAUCUUGAGAGCCCUGAAUCAGGGCUCACUGAAGCGGGAAGAACGGCGGCACCCUGACCUGGAGCCCAUCCUGAGGCAGCUAUUUUCAACUUCGUCACGAGCUUUUCUACAGAAUCAGAAAGUACACAGCUUUUUUCAGUCCAUAUCAUCAGACCCUUUCCACAGCCUCAAUAACUUACAAUCCAAUCUGAAGACUUCUAAGAUAUUAGAACACUUAAAAGAAGACAGCUCAGAAGCUUCAAGUCAAGAAGAAGAUGUGUUACAGCACACCAUAAUCCACAAGAAACAUACCGGGAAAAGUCCCCUUGUGAACACUAUUGGUACAAGUUGUUCUCCGUUGGAUGGGCUCACCAUGCAGUAUUCUGAACAGAAUGGAAUCAUGGAUUGGAGGAAGCAGACCUGCACCACCGUUCAGCACCCGGAGCACUGUGUGGCCUUAGCUGACCAGCAUUCAACUGAAAAACGAAGUUUAUCUUCAAUAAAUAAGAAGAAGGGAAAGCCACAAAUAGAAAAGGAGAAAAUUAAGAAAACUGACAACAGAUUGAAUAGUAGAAUAAAUGGUAUUCGAAUCUCCACUCCUCAGCACGCCCACGGUGGUUCUGUGAAAGAUGUGAAUUUGGACAUUGGAUCUGGACAUGACACAUGUGGAGAAACAUCUUCAGAGAGUUACAGUUCUCCAUCUAGCCCACGACAUGAUGGAAGAGAAAGUUUUGAAAGUGAAGAAGAAAAAGACAGAGACACAGACAGCAAUUCUGAGGAUUCUGGAAAUCCAUCAACAACCAGGUUUACAGGUUAUGGUUCUGUCAACCAGACUGUCACUGUCAAGCCACCUGUUCAGAUUGCUUCAUUAGGAAACGACGAUGCAAGCCUCUUAGAAGAUCCCUUAAGCUCACCCAAGUAUCAGCAUAUUUCUUUUAUGCCAACUUUACACUGUGUCAUGCACAAUGGUGCCCAGAAGUCUGAGGUGGUUGUUCCUCCACCCAGAUCUGCUGAUGGUAAAACAAUAGGGGUGCUUGUUCCUAGCCCUGUUGCUCUCUCUGCAGGAAGGGAGUCCACGAACUCAACCCCCGUCGGAAUACUAGGGCCAACAGCUUCUACUGCAGAAUCAGAAAAGCACCUUGAAUUACUGGCGUCCCCUUUACCUGUUCCAUCAACAUUCCUUCCACACAGUAGUACUCCCGCUUUGCACCUCACAAUUCAGAGGCUAAAACUGCCACCGCCACCGGGAUCUUCCGAGAGUUGCACAGUGAACCUCUCCCAGCAACCAACCGGGAGUCUGAGCGUCGGAUCACCAAACACUGCCUUUAUUCCUGUUCAUAAUCCAGGUAGUUUUCCAGGAUCUCCUGUGGCUGCCACAGACCCCAUCACAAAAUCUGCAUCUCCAGUGGCAGGACUAAAUCAAAUGGUGCCUCAGAUUGAGGGCAACACGGGGACAGCCCCUCAGCCUGCCAAUGUGAAGGUAGUUCUUCCAGCAGCCGGCCUCUCGGCCGUACAGCCACCAGCUUCCUACCCCUUGCCAGGCUCUCCCCUUGCGGCCGGGGUGUUACCCAGCCAGAAUUCCACCGUCCUCAGCACGGCGGCAACGUCUGCCCAGUCAGCGGGAGCAGGCGUCAGCCAGGCCCAGUCGAGUGUUCCCCCCGCGGUUCCUACCCACACCCCCGGCCCCGCCCCAAGCCCGAGCCCUGCUUUGACACACAGUACUGCGCAGGGCGACAGCACGUCUUACAUCAGUGCUGUGGGAAACACGAACGCCAGCGGGACAGUGUUGCCUCCGCAGCAGAUGGGCUCAGGUCCUUGUGGUUCCUGUGGGCGAAGGUGCAGCUGUGGGACCAAUGGAAACCUUCAGCUGAAUAGUUACUAUUAUCCUAAUCCAAUGCCUGGACCAAUGUACCGAGUCCCGUCGUUCUUUACUCUGCCAUCCAUCUGCAAUGGCAGCUACCUCAACCAAGCACAUCAGAGCAAUGGAAACCAACUUCCUUUUUUUCUGCCUCAGACUCCAUAUGCAAAUGGACUGGUGCAUGACCCAGUCAUGGGGAGCCAAGCCAACUAUGGCAUGCAGCAGAUGGCAGGAUUCGGGAGAUUCUAUCCUGUGUACCCAGCACCCAAUGUAGUUGCCAACACGAGUGGUUCGGGGCCCAAGAAGAACGGGAACGUUUCAUGUUACAACUGUGGUGUAAGCGGGCACUAUGCGCAGGAGUGUAAGCAGUCGUCCAUGGAGGCCAGUCAACAAGGCACUUACAGACUGAGAUACGCACCUCCCCUCCCCCCUUCUAAUGAUACGUUGGAUUCUGCAGACUGAAACAAGUAAAGCUUGCCUACUUAAUACACUGAAGUGUGGGGAGUCAUGGUUGGGGUGUGGAGGGGAGGAAAGGAAAGGUAGCAUCUAGUACUUGAGCACCACCAUCCAUGUGAGCUUGGAGGACACCUUUUUUCAGUUCUACAUACUGAUUACAAAAACAUUUAAGCUCCAACUUGAUCCACUAUAAAAGGUCUCGCUCGGCCAGCCUCUCACCAAAAGAAAUUGCUAAUUGGGAAGCGGCGCCACCUGGUGGGGAACGAGGACAAUGCAAGCAAGCUGACAUCAUUGCCCACUUGACAUGAUGCAGAGAAAAUUGAACGUAAGGCAGAGAACAUUUGAGAUUGUAAACCUGUGCUCAAAACCUUAAAGAAUGCAGGCAACUGGCCAUAAAAGCAAUUUGAGCGGUCUCCUCUUUCAGCCAUUGCAAUCUCAGUUUGUUAUAAACAUCUUAAAUGCAUUGAUGGUACUUCAGAGUUUCCUUUGCACUGUUCUCUGUGCUUAUUGGCCUGCACAACUGUGAAGGGUAUGGGGUCUUCCUCCUCCCUGUUUUACAGAUUAGGAACUCAGGGUUCAGAGGGGUUAAGUGCCACAGACAUGCCGCCAGUGAUGAAGGCCAGGCCCCAACUUCAGAUUAGUGCUUACCUCCUGCCCCACUUCCUGGCCUGCAACUGCUUCUCCACUGAACCCAGGGCAAUGACCUUUUAAACCAUACAAAGCGAUAGGCACCCAUGGUCUUAAGAACCAUGGGGCUUCUGGAUUCCUGAGAGAGGAGUGGGCUGGGUCCUGGUCAGUCAGAAUGUCUCUUUUCUGUAUCUCUGUUGAAGGGGUGAGGGAAAGUUUGCAGAGCUGGGAGACCUCAGGCCUUUUAGAACUAGGCUUUCAGCGUUUGCCUGUCUCAGAUGAGUUCAAGGAGCAGCAACUGUUGCCUACAUCCAAGGUUUGAAACAUGCACCAACAUACUCUGUUGGAACACUGAGUCUUGCUCUGCAAAGGUUUUUAUUAUCCCCAGAUGUCUCGGUGACUAUUGAGCAUUUGGUGACUAUUCCAUUAAUUUUAAGACUUCAGAAUUUAAGAAAUGCAGUAGCAGGGCACACAGAAAAGACACUUCACUGCUGAUAUUUGCAAAGCUCUGACAGUUAUAUAUAGAUUGUCCCAAGCACUCCCUCUACCAGCCACCGCAACUCAAAGACACUCCAAAGAUCAAAAAUGAUGGAGGCAAAGUCACCUUCAAGCAGGAACAGUGACAGUCACACCCACCCCAAAAGCCUUUCUGGACGUUAAGAAUGCCACCAGGUCACCUAGUACUCGGUGCGCAUUCUUGCUAGCGUAUCAGGGUUGGGUAUUUGUGACAUGGUAACUCACUUUUGCAUUGGAAGCCUCCAUCAGAUGAACUUGUACAAGAGGUGGCACUGGUAAAGCCUUAUUUUCAGCACCCACCCACAGUACGCAUGACCUUUCUCAGGCUCAUUUACAGAACGGGGAUAACAUCCACUUUGUUAGAAUAGUUACAAGGAUUGAAUCUGGCAAAAUACAUAAAGCACUCAGCGUCUGGCACACAGUAGGUGCUCAGGAAAUUCGUGAUAGUGGCGAACGCCUUCAUGCCCAGUGGGGGGCAGACACAUUUCAGCCUCACUGCAGCCAUACGAGGUGGGUACUCCGCUCAAUCUUACCGUUGGGGAGGUUGAGGCAUGAAGGCCGCCCAAGUGUCUGAGGGUACAGAGCGGUUCAGUGGUAGGGCUGGGACUGGUACCCGCCGCUCUUAGCCCCCAGGCUCCUCCAAUUCUUUGUGCCCGGGUCACAGGAUGCCACAGGCAUGGCGUGACAGUGCAGGGCACCCCGCACGGGGGUCAGGUAGGCAGGACUCAGGCCGGCUCUGCCGUAAACUCUGUCGUCUUGAACACCUGGCCCUCCUGGACCUUCAUUUUUCUUAUCCGAAAGCUGAGUGUUGCUUGGAAAAGAGUGGUAGAAACUGAGCUAAAUGACCUUAGAAUUCUGUGGCUUGAAGCUUACUUUUUCACUUUAGGUGAUUUAUCAAGUUUUUAUAAUUCUUUACCUUUACACUUUUGUUUUAACUGAUUUGAAGUCCUUUUUGGGUGUGGUCAGGAGCACAAACCCCAGCUGUCACCAGGUGCUAACAGGACAGGAAACGUUUCCAGGUCCUUAGGGAACGGCAAGAGAAAAGACCCCAGUUGGGGCUGGCUGGGCACUAGGUGGCAGCACCGGGUUCUGACCGUGUCUGGUCCAGUGGAGGAGCAGGUGCUCUGUCCUCUGUCAUCAAGAUUCUAGGCUCUCCUCUACUUGUACUGAUAAAGUUUUCACUUAGGCGGGCCUUCUAGUCAAAAAACGAAGCUCGCAUACUGAGUCCUGUGCUGAAGGACACAGGGUUAGCCGUAGCUCACAGGUCGGCAAUGCGUAGAGAUGGACAAACUACGGUCCACAGCUAAGAAUGGUUUUUACAUCUUUAAAUGGUUGAAAAGAAUACAUUUUCAUGAUGCAUAAAAAAAUGAUAUGAAAUUCACAUUUCAGUGUGCACAAAUAAAGUUUCUUGGAACACGGCCACUCGUUUGUCUCGUUGUGGCUGCUUUCGUCGGAAAUGGCCAAGUUGAGCAGUUACGACACAGACCACAUGGCCUUCAGAGCCUGAGGUACUGUCUGCACCGUUAUGGAAAAAGCUUGCCGACCCCUGACACACAGCAACCUUCUCUAAGUAAAGGUGCGCUCUCCGGUGUCUUUCAGGUCCUACGUGCGAGUGCAGGAAUUUCACUCUCUCCUUUUUGCUGCCGGGUCUCCUUAGCAAAAUGAGAUCACCUCUGGUGCACACAUUCCAUCAGCCGUUUAGCAAAUAUCUCUUGGCUGGGAGCUGAGUGUCACGAGGGGCAUAACCAGCUACAGCCUGGUCACAAGCUGUGGGAUCCCAGCGGGUGGACAGGUGAACUCUGCCUGCUGAGAACUGGGAAAGGGUUUCCAAAGGACAGCAUUUCCGCUGGGCCAGAAAGGAAGAAGUGAGAUAUUCUUAGUGAAGAGGUAAAGAGAUGGCAAAGAAAAUGUCAUCGAAGAUGGACGUCAGGAGUGUUGGGUAGGGAG